AGAAUCAACGCUGGCGGCGUGCCUAACACAUGCAAGUCGCACGAGAAAGUGGAGCAAUCCAUGAGUAAAGUGGCGCACGGGUGAGUAACACGUGAAUUAUCUACCUCCGAGUGGGGAAUAACUGAGAGAAAUCUUAGCUAAUACCGCAUAACACUUACGAGUCAAAGCAGCAAUGCGCUUGGAGAGGAGUUCGCGGCCGAUUAGUUAGUUGGCGGGGUAAUGGCCACCAAGACGAUGAUCGGUAUCCGGCCUGAGAGGGCGCACGGACACACUGGAACUGAAACACGGUCCAGACUCCUACGGGAGGCAGCAGUGGGGAAUUUUGCGCAAUGGGGGAAACCCUGACGCAGCAACGCCGCGUGGAGGAUGAAGCCCCUUGGGUGUAAACUCCUUUCGAUCGGGAAGAUAAUGACGGUACCGAUAUAAGAAGACCCGGCUAACUUCGCGCCAGCAGCCGC
RNAcentral lists this ribosomal RNA (458 nucleotides) under uncultured bacterium. Its description in RNAcentral is "SSU rRNA". It matches the Rfam family "Bacterial small subunit ribosomal RNA", at positions 26 to 518 of the family's 1533-position model. The record is from RNAcentral.